Molecule: long non-coding RNA, 480 nt
Filed under: Brassica rapa (field mustard)
Lineage: Eukaryota; Viridiplantae; Streptophyta; Magnoliopsida; Brassicales; Brassicaceae
Description: long non-coding RNA (BRAP_LNC006821)
Source: RNAcentral
GAUAAAUCCCUAGAUCUAGCAUUUUCUCCUUAUUUUCUACAAACAUAUCUCUUUAUUGUUUUCUAUUUUGUUUUCUAUUAUUAAUCUAGUUUAGUCUGAAACUAAUAGUCUAUUAUGUGAAAUAUCGAGUCUUUGUGGACAUGAUCAUCAAUUACUGCACUAAUCCUCUUAUUUGAGAGAGGUGCUUGAAGGUUAAUUUGAGCAAACUAAAUUUGGCACCGUUGUCAGGGACUCUGAUCACUAUUAUACUAGGUGUAGGAUUUAGACUAGGUUUUUUUUUAGUUGUACUUAUUUUAUCUUUCUUUUCUUGGGUUUCAGGUGCAUUCAUUUCAAUACCAAAAUCAACAAAAUUUACAGCUUUUGGAACUCUCAUACCAAAGGAUUUUCUGGGCUGGAACGAACGAACCGUAAGGCCAACAGGAAAGUAUCGAUCAACACCCUUGGGUCGUCGAUUGACACUACUCAGACACAACAGCCGAA